AACGCACAUUGCGCCCUUCGGUAUUCCGUUGGGCAUGCCUGUUCGAGCGUCAUUUAAACCUUCAAGCAUAGCUUGGUGUUGGGUGCUUGUCCUCCCCCGCGGUGGACUCACCUCAAAUGCAUUGGCGGCCGGUAUGUUGGCUUCGAGCGCAGUACAACGCGCAAGGCGUCUUGACAUGCUGGUCCUCCACAAGACCUUCUUAAGCUUGACCUCGGAUCAGGUAGGGAUACCCGCUGAACUUAA
Molecule: unclassified non-coding RNA, 243 nt
Filed under: uncultured fungus
Lineage: Eukaryota; Fungi
Description: sequence contains ITS2
Source: RNAcentral